GAUGAAGAACGCAGCGAAAUGCGAUAAGUAGUGUGAAUUGCAGAAUUCAGUGAAUCAUCGAAUCUUUGAACGCACAUUGCGCCCCUUGGUAUUCCAUGGGGCAUGCCUGUUCGAGCGUCAUUUGUACCCUCAAGCUCUGCUUGGUGUUGGGUGUUAGUCCCGCUUUACGCGUGGACUCGCCUUAAAGCAAUUGGCAGCCGGCAAUCUGGUUAUAGAGCGCAGCACAUUUUGCGCUUCUUGCCAUGGAUGUCGGCGUCCAUCAAGUACAUUUUUUUGCUCUUGACCUCGGAUCAGGUAGGGAUACCCGCUGAACUUAAGCAUAUCAAUAAGCGGAGGA
Molecule: unclassified non-coding RNA, 337 nt
Filed under: soil metagenome
Description: partial contains 5.8S ribosomal RNA, internal transcribed spacer 2, and large subunit ribosomal RNA
Rfam family: 5.8S ribosomal RNA (bases 1-120)
Source: RNAcentral